Triticum dicoccoides is the source of this 2764-nucleotide RNA transcript. RefSeq lists it as uncharacterized. The transcript has 5 exons. Lineage: Eukaryota; Viridiplantae; Streptophyta; Magnoliopsida; Poales; Poaceae. The record is from RefSeq and is a predicted model, not a curated record.
CGUCGGGGUAGCCGUGUCGUCGGUUUGUUUGGUGCUGGAGAGAGUUGUGGGCCUGACUCGUGCGUUGUGCUCUGCCCGACUCCUGCGCCAUGCCGCGUCUCGUCUACGACAGCAGGAGCGUGCGCCCUCUCUCAUCCUCGCUCCUCCCUUCCUGGUCAACACAGCCGCUGCGCCACCUCCGUCCUCCGGUCCUCCCUUCCCCCCUGCAGCCCCAGCUCACGAGGAAGCCGCGGGAGGAGCAGCUCAACCAGGCGUCGCCGGCCGGAGAAGGAGGAGAGGCGCGGAUGCCAGCCAGGGAGGCGGAUCGGCUCGCCUCCGCCUCUGCAUCCACCUUGCUGCUCAUGGCAGCAUGUGUGCGGAAGCGGGGACAGGCGACCACGAGCAGAUGUCAUCGGCGGACGCACGGUGCGCGAAGUCCGGUAAGAUGGGCGCGGCCUCCCCGCAGGCGUUUCAAGAUGCCGUGCCCGACGGCUCGGAAUGCGCGUGCCUGGCACAUAGGAGGUAUGCCUCAGAGCAAGCUGGCGGCAACGUGCACCGCGAGGCCCCAGAGCAGCCCAACCAGUACAUAGCCCCUCCGUACUGGAGGAACCCUGCCGCCGACGCAGCCAGCGACGGCGACGCGUAUGAGAGCUCGGCCUUGGUGGCCCGCGAGCCGUACGGGAGGAUCACGUCCGCGCUCGAGGGCAGCAACAAGCGCAGCACGAGGAGGUGCGCCUGGUCUGCAACGACGCAAGGUGUACGUGUCUGCAUAGCAGCAUAUGUGCGGCGGCGGGGUCAGGCAACCACACGCAGAUUUUGGGGAGCGGCACAACCAUCAAGCAACGGCUGAUGCCAAGGAACCUUAUCACAACAGAUCAUUGGCAUUGCAGCUUUAGGGACAUGUAUGCUUUAUAUCCCAUCACUGAACAACAUUGGAUUUUAGUGAAUACAAGCCAUCCUCCUCGCUGCCCUCCUCAGCUACUCAGGUGAAUGCAGUGGACUAUUCAAGAUCGAGGGCACCAACGGCAUAUGCUGAGGGCGUCCAUCAACAACCCGCCCAAUGUCCGGAUUCACCGAGGAGUACAACCGGAGACACUGUCGGCUGCCUGCAGGCGCCAAGCCCCCCGACACCGAGCCGUCUGUUCUUCUCUCUGCCCGAAGAAGGAUUAUGGUUCUCCACCUCUCUGCUACUCAUAUUAAAAUUCCGGUAUGUUCUUUCUUUCUUUAUUUUCUGUCAACAAAAAGGUGAAACCUGUUCUUAAUUUUCCAUAAUGAUUUUGAUGGCAAUUUGUCAGUGUAUUUCUAGCUGGAAUUGCACGUAUAUCUUACAAAUUUACAUUGCAACAAAUUAAGAAGGAGAAUAGAAGUAUUUGCAGCCAUCUAACAUAUGGUAUUUUUCAAAAAGCUCAAGGUUAGAGAUGUGGCGCUGUAUGAGGCUAUCAUUACGAUGGAAGAUAAAUUAUUGUUAAAAUAUUGUUUGAAUUUCCUUCAUUCUGUAAACGGCAAUACAAGCUAUGUUUGCACCAUGAUUCUAUUCCAAUUUUUUUUAACAACUAGCAAUUAACGACACAUCAAAUGUCCUGUAUUCAAAUGGAUCAUUUUGUCUGGUUGGGUUUAGUAGGUCAUAAUGGUUUUAUUGUACAGCAGGAUUAAUUUUGUUUAUACUGUAACCAGUUCAAGGAUUGAUAAGUUUUCUCCCUAUGAUCUUUGCACACAAAGGUUCGGAUGUGUUCUUUUUGAAAUAUACGUCCGGCAAGUCUCAUGUGUCUUGCAUUGUUUUCGCUUUCCAAGCUACAGGUUUGGAUAUUCUUUGAACAAGAUUCUUUAUAUGUUGUUCGAUUCCUCUUGACCACAAGGGGAAUGCUUACUGUGGCAAUACGCACUUCUAUGCUUACUGAUUGGCAUUUUUAUUAGCAUGGAGAAUAACUUUUAGUUCACUAAGAUUAGUUUAUGUUCACAUUGCUCUAUAUAUAAAAAAAGGAUUGUUGUGCUGAAAAGGUAUAUGACAUUCUGGCAAAACGUUGUUUAGUAAAAAGGUAUGUAGAGGUGAACUUUAGAAGUGAAAUGGUGUGGAUGUUCUGACAGGGAGAUGCUUGGACUAACUUUAGCGUCACACAUGACUUUUUGUUUUCCUCCGAAUGUAUGUUCUACUAAUUGUCAGCGCCUGAAUUUUUGUUUUCCUCCCAAUGUCAUGUGAUAAUUACUGCACUAUAAAUCACAUGCUUGCAAGUCAUUGUUGUGUCGUCUCUCUCUCUCUCUAACCGCACCCUCCCCCUUCCCAUCAUCUUGGCUUGCAGGUUGCUGGCGUGUCUCCCACGAGUCCACGACAUAACGUGUAAUCUAGGUUGUUGGCAAGUUAACUUAGGAUUGGCAACCUAUAGUGUAUUAGUGUGGCAAGCGCAUGGGAAGGUAAAACACCAUCAUGUUGUUUGAGGUGCAUGCAUCGGUUGUAGCGAAGAUGUGCGUAUGACGAUGUAUUGCUGACCAUGGAGCACUCAAGGCUUCAAGAUAUCUACCGCAACUUAGAGGCUUGACACAUUGCCACUUGCUCCUACCACCAUGCAAAUGGUCGAUGCUUUAGUGUUGAACUAUUUCUUUAAUCUAUGUGAUGGUGCAACUUACCAUUAGUACUUGUCAUGUGGAUUUCAAUAGAAAUGAUGUUUUAGGCAUGUUUGAUGGUUAUAAAACAAAUGCCAUAGGUGAUAGCUAUUGCUAUUAUGGAGUUUGGAACUAUUGUUCAAGUGAUAUUCAAUGUUUGAUGCUCCUUCAUUAUUUUUAUUAUACA